RNAcentral lists this ribosomal RNA (405 nucleotides) under Triticum aestivum (bread wheat). RNAcentral's name for it is "partial small subunit ribosomal RNA". Lineage: Eukaryota; Viridiplantae; Streptophyta; Magnoliopsida; Poales; Poaceae. The record is from RNAcentral.
AUGGCGUCCGGCGACAGCAAGCCGAGGAGCGAGGAGGAGUGGCGCGCCGUCCUCAACCCCGAGCAGUUCCGCAUCCUCCGCCUCAAGGGCACCGAGUUGCCGGGAACAGGCGAGUACAACAAGUUCUACGGUGAUGGGGCGUACAAGUGCGCUGGCUGCGGAACGCCCCUGUACAAAUCCACCACCAAAUUUGACUCUGGCUGUGGCUGGCCGGCCUUCUUUGAAGGACUUCCUGGAGCCAUACACAGGACGCCUGACCCUGAUGGUAGGAGGGUAGAGAUCACAUGUGCAUCUUGCGGCGGGCAUUUGGGCCAUGUCUUCAAGGGAGAAGGCUUCAAGACGCCUACCGAUGAGCGCCACUGCGUCAACAGCGUUUCCAUCAAGUUUACUCCUGCCUCCUCCUGA